CAGGGGGGGCAAGCGUUGUUCGGAAUUACUGGGCGUAAAGGGCUCGUAGGCGGCCAACUAAGUCACACGUGAAAUCCCCAGGCUUAACCUGGGAACUGCGUGUGAUACUGGAUGGCUUGAAUUCGGGAGAGGGAUGCAGAAUUCCAGGUGUAGCGGUGAAAUGCGUAGAUAUCUGGAGGAAUACUGGUGGCGAAGGCGGCAUCCUGGACCGACAUUGACGCUGAGGAGCGAAAGCUAGGGGAGCAAACGGGAUUAGAUACCCCGGUAGUCCUAGCCCUAAACGAUGAAUGCUUGGUGUGGCGGGUAUCGAUCCCUGCCGUGCCGAAGCUAACGCAUUAAGCAUUCCGCCUGGGGAGUACGGUCGCAAGGCUG
RNAcentral lists this ribosomal RNA (372 nucleotides) under uncultured organism. RNAcentral describes it as "bacterial SSU rRNA". It matches the Rfam family "Bacterial small subunit ribosomal RNA", at positions 526 to 896 of the family's 1533-position model. The record is from RNAcentral.